Mycena olivaceomarginata is the source of this 92-nucleotide non-coding RNA. The record is from the annotation of a GenBank genome assembly. NCBI's taxonomy places the organism in Eukaryota, Fungi, Basidiomycota, Agaricomycetes, Agaricales, Mycenaceae.
ACACCGAUGGUGAAGCGGUUAUCAUGCUUGCCUUCCAUAUUAAGAAUUGGAUUUUGAAGCAAGCGGCAGGGGUUCGACUCCCCUUCGGUGUA